Molecule: long non-coding RNA, 283 nt
Organism: Arabidopsis thaliana (thale cress)
Lineage: Eukaryota; Viridiplantae; Streptophyta; Magnoliopsida; Brassicales; Brassicaceae
Product: other RNA
Exons: 1
Source: RefSeq
GUUUUCUAGUGUUCAUAUUCCCAUAUUCUGAUUAUCAAUAACAAAAAGGAAACAAAUGAAAAAAAAUCAUAUAAUGAAGAAAACUCCAAAAUCCUUAUAAAUUAGGAAGGUGCCUCUUUUACUGAUACAUGCCUCUCAUGACCUCUGCAAGAUCCCCUUUGAAUAUCGUCUACAAAAAUAUUAUUUUUUUCUAAAUCCUUCUUUACACUGUAUAUUGGCUUUGGCUUUUCAUGAGAAAAGCAAUAAGAAUGAGACCAAAGAGAGGGCUUUGUGUCUGGUUUUA